GAUCACUAAAAUCCGGAAGCCAAGAAUAUAAGAAUUCUGAUUCCAAGCUGCAUGGUAGGCUUCCUUUUAGUUUAUUAGCCAUGCACUGGUGUCACUCCUAUAGCACUGAGAUUUGUCACUGUAUAUUCCUGUAAGAGAACAAGAGCUAUUAAAAGUGAAAUUCAAUGUAUAUUUGCAGUUUUGAUAUAUGCCCCAUGAUUCUUUCCCCUCCUUAGUUUGAAAAUAA
Molecule: non-coding RNA, 226 nt
Organism: Podarcis lilfordi (Lilford's wall lizard)
Lineage: Eukaryota; Metazoa; Chordata; Lepidosauria; Squamata; Lacertidae
Source: the annotation of a GenBank genome assembly